GACAAUAUUUGCUAACGUCAGGCUUAGGCUGUUACAAAGUAAAAACAAAAUUAAAUUGGUUAAGAUAUAUUUCUUCGAUCAAGAUAUCAGAGGAUUAAAUCACCGUAUCGCCAAAUGACGAU
Cucurbita maxima (winter squash) is the source of this 122-nucleotide long non-coding RNA. RefSeq lists it as uncharacterized. Lineage: Eukaryota; Viridiplantae; Streptophyta; Magnoliopsida; Cucurbitales; Cucurbitaceae. The transcript is spliced from 2 exons. The record is from RefSeq and is a predicted model, not a curated record.